Molecule: ribosomal RNA, 253 nt
Filed under: uncultured bacterium
Lineage: Bacteria
Description: partial 16S ribosomal RNA
Rfam family: Bacterial small subunit ribosomal RNA
Source: RNAcentral
GACGUAGGAGGCGAGCGUUAUCCGGAUUCACUGGGCGUAAAGCGCAUGUAGGCGGAUGUCUAAGUCGUGUGUUAAAGCCCCUGGCUCAACUGGGGGAGGUCAUGCGAGACUGGAUGACUUGAGGGUAACAGAGGCACGUGGAACUCCCGGUGUAGCGGUGAAAUGCGUAGAUAUCUGGAGGGAUACCGGUGGCGAAGGCGGCAUCCUGGACCGACAUUGACGCUGAACGGCGAAAGCUAGGGGAGCAAACGGG